This 466-nucleotide ribosomal RNA is filed under the name uncultured bacterium. Its description in RNAcentral is "partial 16S ribosomal RNA". It matches the Rfam family "Bacterial small subunit ribosomal RNA", at positions 28 to 507 of the family's 1533-position model. The record is from RNAcentral.
GACGAACGCUGGCGGCGCGCCUAACACAUGCAAGUCGAACGAGCGAGAGAGAGCUUGCUUUCUCAGGCGAGUGGCGAACGGGUGAGUAACGCGUGAGGAACCUGCCUCAAAGAGGGGGACAACAGUUGGAAACGACUGCUAAUACCGCAUAAGCCCACGACCCGGCAUCGGGUAGAGGGAAAAGGAGCAAUCCGCUUUGAGAUGGCCUCGCGUCCGAUUAGCUAGUUGGUGAGGUAACGGCCCACCAAGGCGACGAUCGGUAGCCGGACUGAGAGGUUGAACGGCCACAUUGGGACUGAGACACGGCCCAGACUCCUACGGGAGGCAGCAGUGGGGAAUAUUGCACAAUGGGGGAAACCCUGAUGCAGCGACGCCGCGUGGAGGAAGAAGGUCUUCGGAUUGUAAACUCCUGUUGUUGAGGAAGAUAAUGACGGUACUCAACAAGGAAGAGACGGCUAACUACGUG